Non-coding RNA from Cyanistes caeruleus (blue tit), 283 nucleotides. The record is from RefSeq and is a predicted model, not a curated record. Lineage: Eukaryota; Metazoa; Chordata; Aves; Passeriformes; Paridae.
GAAAACACAGCACUACUACAUGCAACCAGACAGGAAAUAGACCAAAAAGCACGUUUUCAAAUCAAAAAACAAAUCUGAAGACUAUCAAAAAUGUAGAUGAAGAAGGAAGGCCAGAAAAUCCGUGAGCAUCCCAUUCCUUUUAUCAAGCCACCUAGGUAGAUUCUUGAAUCCACCUCCUGGAAAGGAGGCAUAAACCUGCUGCCUGAGCUGUCUUAAGAGCUUGAUCAAGCAGUGAGACUUGGCAGACCUGCAGAGACAAGGUGAGGAUCAGCUGACUGAAGAG